UUUUUUUUUUUUGUGUAUUGUUUCUAUUUGUAUGUGAUGUCCCUAAAUUCUGACGUCAGGGUCUUUGAUGAUCCCAAUGAUGCCAGGAUCCACAUGGCAGCAUUGAUUAGUGAUGCUUAUCUCCAUGAUGCCAGGGUAAGGCUUGUCAUGAGAAGCAAAUACCUAAGUCUGAAAAUACUAAUUGCUAUUGCUGUUUAUAGUGAUGAAAAGGGUUAGUAAGACCCUUUUAUGCAACUACUGAAUAAUGCACAAUUAUAAGUGCUGCUGGUAUAAGUGCUCUGCAAAUAUAUAGGCUGCCAUGGCCAAGAAAAACCCUGCCUUUCCCCAAAGAAAAAUGAGAAAAAGCAGGAAGAGAUCCCUCACUAAUCCACUGGUCACAGGCAGGCGUGAGAAACGUCGGGAAACACACUGCUCUGCAUCAGCUGCUUCUCAAUCCAGAAGAAGGGAUCCAGUGCAUGAGGAAGGCCUUCAGAUAGAAGAUCAAGAGUUGGCAAGUCUUGAAACAAGACUCCAAGAGUUAAGGGACACUAUAACUGCAGACCAGGUUCCGGAGGGAACAGACAGAAUGGUUUCUGCUUGGGAACAAAGGCAGCUUCUCACAGAUGUGAGAAUGAAAACUGCUAGGCCUAUGCUUUUUGAUGCAAAGCUCUCAGCCGAGAGAGUAUCCGUCCAAAAUUGUCACAGAUGCUGUGCUGUAGAAGCUGUGAUUAGGUGCCUGGACUGUGUACCACUGGACAUGGAGUACCUCUGUGCUACCUGUGACAUGGAGGCCCACAAGAGAAAUAUCUUCCAUGACAGAGAGGCUGUGUUCCAUGGAUUUCUUGAGCCCAUUCCCCCUACAACUGCUGUGGUGCUGAAUGAAAAUGGCCAGCCUCAGUUUUGUGAACAAAUAUGUCAACUGCCUGUUCCUGCACCAAGGUCAAUUUGUGAAUGCACACAUGACUUCACAAUCACUCCAGGGAAGCAUAUUUCUGUGGUCACCAUCAAUUUUUGUGCCUUAUUGUACUAGAACUAGCAAAGCGUUGCCCAAAUGCCAUGUCAAAUAGCUAAUAUAUCAUAAAUUUGUAUCUCUGUAUAGAAGGCAAUCUGUUGCAGUUUGAUUACUGAAAUUAUUUUAGUCUUUACUACAGCAUAUUUACUUGUUCACAGGACGAUACGAUGUCUGCUUGCCUCGGAAAUCCUGUUCAUCAUGCUCUGCAGAGUGGACUCCCGAGUUGAAAGAACUGCUCAUUUAUCGGUACUGGCCAGCUAGCACCAGCUGCCAGACCCUGUACAAGUUUGAUGUCUUCACCUCGUUUGAACAUAUGAAGGUGACGGCACCAGCCAUGUCCAGGCAGGCCUUCCUGAAAAUGUUGGAGCACAGAUCUGUUCAAGCUGGAAGGACAGGUAGUAUCUGUGCUGAUACAUUUCAGCGAAGCUUUUUUGAGUUUACCUUCUGUCAAUACAAAGAAGAGGAUAUGUGCCAGGUCCAUCAUUUUGAGUGUCCAGCAUGUUAUCCAGACAUGUUGGCUGUCUGCUCUGAUGGGAACCGAAAACAUUACCGCUUCAGCAAGUCAAAAGGGACUGAGGAGCCACCCAUAUACGAGGGCUUGUUCUUGGCCAAGGACGAGGAAGUUGCUACCUUUGUUGACCUCGUCAGAGGCAACAUGAGAAGUGCAAAUGAAAGUGCUGUGUGCGGUACUGCCAAGUUCACCGCUGGCAGAGAGAUGUCAAAAAAGUCUGGUGCUCAGAUAGACGAGGAGGGCAUUCAAGUUGCAGUUUGCAGACAUGGGUUUCUCUUACGAGGACUGAACCAUUACCGUGGAGAAAUAUUUGCUUACCCAAUGUUUCUUCAAAGAGAGAUGUCAAAGAAGGCAAAUGUUACCUUCUUCUGUCUGGAUGUUACAUGCAGGCACUGGCCCUACCUUAACAAAGUAGCAGAGGGUUUACCAGAGCUUCUGCCAUUGACAGAAAUGAGGUCAUGCCAAAGCCCAUACAGCAAAAUGCGAGGUGAGAUGGGGUGGCAGAAGCCAGGAUGGAGCAGGAAACACGGUGGGAGAAGAAGUAGAGCAGGUGAACAGCUUUCUCUCCAGGGCAGCACUUGUCACAAAAUACAUGACAAAGGCUGAGUGAACAUGCUAACGCGACAGGCCAUGGGUUGGAACAGAAGAAAGAGGGACAACCUUCAUCAAGUGUUAGCCCACAGAUAUGUCAAAAUCACAGAGAGGGCAAAACUGGAAGCUGCCAGCCUUAGCAAAAUCAAGAAGGAGCACAACCUUGAUCAGGAGACAAUACAGCAGUGGGUG
Molecule: RNA transcript, 2285 nt
Organism: Carassius auratus (goldfish)
Lineage: Eukaryota; Metazoa; Chordata; Actinopteri; Cypriniformes; Cyprinidae
Exons: 13
Source: RefSeq, a predicted model, not a curated record